Termitomyces sp. 'cryptogamus' is the source of this 94-nucleotide non-coding RNA. Lineage: Eukaryota; Fungi; Basidiomycota; Agaricomycetes; Agaricales; Lyophyllaceae. The record is from the annotation of a GenBank genome assembly.
UCUUUGCUAGUAUAUCGGUUAGUACACGCGCCUGUCAUCAGUACUGCUUGCAAAAUAAACGCGCGAAAGCUGGGUUCGACUCCCAGGCAGAGAG